AAGCGCUUGCAAUCAGACUUGCAUGCAGCUGAUCAUCCGAUGUUCUCACCGGUGCACUCAGUUGCAUACAGGCCAGCAUCAGUUUUGGUGGUUGGAUAAAGGCCUAAGGAAUGUAGCUUCUCUCGGGGAGUGUUAUAGCCUGUGGUGUAAUACCCCCGCCGGGACCGAGGACCGCGCAUUGCAAGGAUGCUGGCGUAAUGGU
This 202-nucleotide ribosomal RNA is filed under the name Helotiales sp. RNAcentral's name for it is "partial large subunit ribosomal RNA". Lineage: Eukaryota; Fungi; Ascomycota; Leotiomycetes; Helotiales. The record is from RNAcentral.